RNAcentral lists this ribosomal RNA (879 nucleotides) under uncultured euryarchaeote. RNAcentral describes it as "bacterial SSU rRNA". It matches the Rfam family "Archaeal small subunit ribosomal RNA", at positions 22 to 903 of the family's 1478-position model. The record is from RNAcentral. Lineage: Archaea; Methanobacteriati; Methanobacteriota.
GGCCACUGCUAUCGGGCUCCGACUAAGCCAUGCGAGUCUAGGGGCUCUUCGGAGCACCGGCGGACUGCUCAGUAACACGUGGACAACCUACCCUCGGGUGGGGGAUAACCUCGGGAAACUGAGGCUAAUACCCCAUAGACCUCGGAUACUGGAAUGUUCCGAGGCUGAAAGCUCCGGCGCCCGAGGAUGGGUCUGCGACCUAUCAGGUAGUUGGUGGUGUAAAGGACCACCAAGCCUACGACGGGUACGGGCCCUGAGAGGGGAAGCCCGGAGAUGGACUCUGAGACACGAGUCCAGGCCCUACGGGGCGCAGCAGGCGCGAAACCUUCGCAAUGUGCGAAAGCGCGACGAGGGGAGCCCGAGUGCCCUUCCUUCGGGGAGGGCUUUUCUGGAGCCUAAAAAGCUCCAGGAAUAAGGGCUGGGCAAGACGGGUGCCAGCCGCCGCGGUAAUACCCGCAGCUCAAGUGGUGGCCGCUUUUAUUGAGCCUAAAGCGUCCGUAGCCGGACCCGUAAAUCCCUGGGUAAAUCCUGGCGCUCAACGUCAGGAAUUCCGGGGAGACUGCGGGUCUUGGGACCGGGAGAGGCUGGAGGUACUCCCGGGGUAGCGGUGAAAUGCUGUAAUCCUGGGGGGACCACCUGUGGCGAAAGCGUCCAGCUUGAACGGCUCCGACGGUGAGGGACGAAGGCCAGGGGAGCGAACCGGAUUAGAUACCCGGGUAGUCCUGGCUGUAAACGCUGCCCGCUUGGUGUUGCCGGUCUUUCGGGGGCCGGCAGUGCCGGAGCGAAGGUGUUAAGCGGGCCGCUUGGGAAGUACGGCCGCAAGGCUGAAACUUAAAGGAAUUGGCGGGAGAGCACUGCAACGGGAGGAGCGUGCGGUUU